UUGGUCAAGCUAUAAAGAGCGCAGGGUGGAUGCCUUGGCACUAAGAGCCGAUGAAAGACGUGAUAAGCUGCGAUAAGCUCGGGGAGGAGCAAAUAUCCUUUGAUCCGGAGAUCUCUGAAUGGGGAAACCCGGC
RNAcentral lists this ribosomal RNA (133 nucleotides) under Lachnospiraceae bacterium AM48-27BH. RNAcentral's name for it is "partial 23S ribosomal RNA". It matches the Rfam family "Bacterial large subunit ribosomal RNA", at positions 1 to 132 of the family's 2925-position model. The record is from RNAcentral. Lineage: Bacteria; Bacillati; Bacillota; Clostridia; Lachnospirales; Lachnospiraceae.